Molecule: ribosomal RNA, 402 nt
Filed under: uncultured bacterium
Lineage: Bacteria
Description: partial 16S ribosomal RNA
Rfam family: Bacterial small subunit ribosomal RNA
Source: RNAcentral
AUUGAACGCUGGCGGCAGGCCUAACACAUGCAAGUCGAGCGAGCGGCGGACGGGUGAGUAAUGUAUGGGGACUGCCCGAUAGAGGGGGAUAACUACUGGAAACGGUAGCUAAUACCGCAUACUAUCGGAUAACCCAUAUGGGAUUAGCUAGGAGGUGAGGUAAUGGCUCACCUAGGCGACGAUCCCUAGCUGGUCUGAGAGGAUGAUCAGCAAAACUGGGAAUGAGAGACGGCCCAGAAUCCGACGGAGGCAGCAGUGGGGAAUAUUGCACAAUGGGAGCAAGCCGGAUGCAGCCAUGCCGCGUGUAUGAAGAAGGCAAGAGGGUUGUAAAGUACUUUCAGUCGGGAGGCGUUACCGACAGAAGAAGAACAGGCUAACUCCGUGCCAGCAGCCGCGGUAAUU